AUGGCCGAUGCAAGUGCAGAGUGUUUGGAUGAGUACGUAAACAUUGUCAGCAGGAUGUUUCAUAGCGAGGAUGAAGGUUUUGAGUUCUAUAACAAGUAUGCUCUUGAGAAAGGCUUUAGUGUGAGAAAAGGCUAUGUUGAGUGGGAUGAAGCGAACGAGAAGAUAAUUCUGAGGAAACUUGUCUGUAGUCGUGAAGGUUGCCGUGAAGAGAAGCACAUGAAGAGGAAGAGAGAAGAUAGGAAGAGGAAGCCACGGAAUAUCACUCGUGUGGGGUGUAAAGCGAAAUUUGUCAUUGCAAGAGUCGCGAAAACAGGGCGGUGGUUUGUGAAGGAUUUCAUCGAUGAACACAACCAUCCUCUGGCCCCACGAGACCUUGCUUGCUUUUUGCGUUCCCACAGAAGAAUCAGCGACGAGCAGAAAGCGGACAUUAUAGAGAUGGAAAGUGUUGGAAUCCGAAAACACAAAAUCAUGGAUGUGUUGUGCAUGCAGUACGGUGGAUAUGACCAUGUUGGAUGCAUGACGAGGGACAUCUAUAACUUCUGUCAUCGCUACAAGCAGGAAACAGUCGCUGCCGGUGAUGCUCAGACGGUGAUCUGUCACAUGAUGGCGCGGCAAGAGAGAGACCCAGAUUAUUUCUUCAAAUACUUGGUUGAUAAAGAUGGGCAUCUGAAGGGAUUGUUCUGGUCCGAUACUCAAUCCCGCCUUGACUACGAGGCUUUCGGCGAUGUUGUGGUUUUUGAUAGCACAUACAGGACCAAUAAGUACAAUCUGCCGUUUGUGCCGUUUGUCGGGUUGAAUCACCACCGCAGCACAGUUAUCUUUGGAUGCGGGAUCAUUUCUCAUGAAACUAACGAGGCGUACGAGUGGAUGUUGCGGACAUUUUCUGAAGCCAUGUCGCAGAAGCAUCCGAUAUCUGUAAUCACUGACGGGGACCUUGCAAUGCAGAGAGCGAUCAGGGUGGUGUGGCCUGACUCAUACCACAGGCUGUGUGUAUGGCACAUUCAGCAAAACAUCGUACGCCAUCUGCAUGAUGAUGAGGUUAGGGAAGAAUUCAGAUCUUUCAUAUAUGACUCGUCUUCUAUUGAAGAGCAUGAGAGAAAAUGGAUAGAGUUCUUACGAAGGAAUGAAGUGACAAGUGAGGAGUCGUGGCUGCAUCAGAUGUAUCAGAUGAGGAAGUUGUGGUGUGCUCCAUACCUGGUGGGGCGCUGUUUCUUAGGAUUGAGCAGCAAUCAGCAGAGUGAGAGCCUAAACUCCGUGCUACAUACACAUCUUGAGGGUAAGAUGACAUUGUUUGAUAUGCUAGAGCACUAUGAGCGUUGCCUUUCCGGGCGACGCUUGAACGAGGCGAUCCUAGACAUCGUGGCCUUGCAGUCCGUUCCAUUAACAGAUGCUGAUGCUUCAAGUCUCGAGAAACAUGCUGCCCGGGUUUUCACGCCUUGUAUGUUUCAGUUGGUCAGAUGGAGCAUAAGUGUUGUUAGCAAAUGUGUUAUCAACGAGAUACUAGAUGCAUGGGAGUUGACUACAUAUGUUGUGGCUAAGAUCGAUAGAAGAGAGAAGAAUUCUGAAGUGCGCUGUGAGAUGAAGGAAGGUUCUUUGUACAGGAUCAGUUGUUCUUGUCGUAAGCUGGAAUGCUUGGGAACACCUUGCUCUCACAUAUUCUACAUCUUGGGAAUACGUCAAGUGGAACUGCUGCCUAGGUGUUGUGUUCCCAUGAGGUGGACGAUGAGUGCGAAGUCUGCAUUCCCUCCGACCAGAAAGAGCGAGAUGUAUGACUAUUCGGCAAGCCUUGUGAGGUACCAUGAGUUGUGGAAUUUGAGUCACGCGGCAUGUUUCCGGGCAUGUCAAUCUAGUGAGGAGUAUCAGCAUCUGAAGAUGGUUCUGAGUGAACAAGAUGGCAGCAAGGAAUCAAGCCGUGGUGAGGAAGAAUGCAUUAGAUUUGGUCCGGUGCUGCCACAGACCAUGGAAAUUGAUUGUGGAGAUUUGGAAAAAGUUCUGGACCCAGUGCAUGUGCAAGGCCGAGGUGCACCGAAGAAAAGGCUGCAGGCAAAGAUGAAGAAGCAAAGAUCAAAGAGGAAAUGUGGCUACUGUGGGGUGGAAGGUCAUAAUCGGCGUAAAUGCAAUAAAUUGAAAGAGGUGUCAAAUAUGUCUUAA
Molecule: ribosomal RNA, 2151 nt
Filed under: Triticum aestivum (bread wheat)
Lineage: Eukaryota; Viridiplantae; Streptophyta; Magnoliopsida; Poales; Poaceae
Description: partial small subunit ribosomal RNA
Source: RNAcentral